Molecule: small RNA, 493 nt
Filed under: Histoplasma capsulatum
Lineage: Eukaryota; Fungi; Ascomycota; Eurotiomycetes; Onygenales; Ajellomycetaceae
Also listed under: 1 other name
Description: hypothetical RNA
Source: RNAcentral
CAGCAGCAUUUCUACUCUUUCCCCGCCUUGGUGCCAGGGUUUGUCUACCUUCUCCAAUUUUGCUGUUUCCAUUCUUUCCCCAAGUCCUUACUGCUGUGGAUUCCAGGAAAGUGGAUGAACAAAUGAUCCGGGGCCAACAGGGGAAAUGGCAAUUUGUUCCACAACCGGACCCCACUACCUGCCUCUGUUGAGAACCGAUAUUCUUUCAGUCAAACAUCACCCACCGCAAUUUUCAAAACUGAGCAAUACCGCGCGUAUUCUAUAUAAAGAAGAUAAAUUUAAGACACAUGUGGAAGGGAAAAAAAAAUAAAAAAUAAAAAAGGAGCCCUCAGCCCUCUCUCUGAGUUGUUUCCCAUUUCCUCCUCCCUUCUUUACACCCUCCGUAGCGCUCCCACCACUCCUACUCGCCGGGACAGGGGCUGGAAGCUGUUUCCCGAACAGACACGGAUUUUGCUCCCGUUAAUUUUAAAAGAGCCUUUUCCUUCUAUACCCA